Hippocampus comes (tiger tail seahorse) is the source of this 2166-nucleotide long non-coding RNA. RefSeq lists it as uncharacterized. The transcript has 2 exons. The record is from RefSeq and is a predicted model, not a curated record. NCBI's taxonomy places the organism in Eukaryota, Metazoa, Chordata, Actinopteri, Syngnathiformes, Syngnathidae.
GGUACAUAAUCACUAAAACAUGAUGCUAAUUUCUGAUUACUCCGUCAAUGGUGUUUGUCAUUAUAUGUUAGCGUUAAGCUAGUGAACUGCUAGUUAUCUACGGUUAGCGGUAUAGGUAAAAAACAAAACAAAAAAAAAACAUUUGUCUUUUGUUUUUGUGUCAGUUUUACAAUAAACAUCAAAAAGGAGUGACAAAUCGUGCUCUGCCUUUUAUUACAGCGCAAGGAGUUGAUUCUAAAACAACACUACUACUCGUCCACUUGAAACCUUGUCGAACCCGAUACAAGGUGACACCUGAAAAGGGGCGGUGAUGACGUUACUCGAUUUAUCAACCGUUCAAAGGGCCAAAGCACUGUCAUGCUGAGCCGAGUGUGAUGCAAGUGAGGCGCUAAGGAUGCUGACCUGGUGAUAGAAGUGCAUGUCGGACGGCGCUCGGCAGACUCCCGAAGGCCUCGAUGCGAGCGGCUCGGGUCCAUCCAGCGGGAACGUCUUUCGGGUGCGACGUCCGGUGCUUCCGUUCAUUAACGGGAGAAUGGAAGCCGCCCGUGUUGCUGCUGCUGUUUGUUCUUCUCAUUUCAUUUUUUCCCCCUCUUGCUGCUUUCCAUCACAUGAUUUGAGCCCCUCCCAUGUCCAGCUUUCAGAGUCACUUUCAUCUGUGGCAGGAUCCGCUGCACAUCACUUCAAGUGGCUUCUAUCCUCCUCUCCUUUCCUGGAAAAAAAAAUCAAGCAGCACACACACACACACACACACACACACACACACACACACACACACACACACACACACGGACACGCCGCAUGCCACCCAGCCAGUGGUUGUCAGCCCUUCCUGUGUGUAUGUGCGUUGUAGAUAGCAUGGCGUGCUCUGUGCUGUCAGAAACAGGAAGUGGGAAGCUUGCUCGCUUGGCCCUGAUGAGCCAUCUCCUGUGUGUAUGCACAUGAGAGACACAGGACACAAUUACCACAGCUCAAAAGCUAUGGCAGGCCAUUGGAGCAUUAUUUCGAUCAUCUACUAGUGCAACGAAUUGUCUAUCUACGAGUAGGCUCUAAAUAUUCAUUCGUAAGUAGAUAGAACAGUUCUGAAUAGCAGAAAGACGAGGGCGCACAGGUAGAACAACUACAUGUGACUAGCGAGGCAAAACGGCAAACUAGUUGAAAACUGCAUGUCACCAAUUCUGACAGUGACAUAAAAAUUGUGAAAAUCUAGCAUCUCUCGGGUAGUGGUAGUAUACAGAUAUUCGUGCAUAGUUUUGCAAAGGAGUAUGGCAACGCUUUCUGACUAAUGCGCAGAGAUUUUACACAGGAGUGGAAGGCAAAGGUGCAAAAAAAAAAGCUUUACUAGUCAGACACUAUUUCUCGAGUGCCCUGGUUGUUCUACUAGCAUGUUGAAUUGUCUUACUAGUGAGGACAAAAAGGAUACUAGUGUGUGGACCUUUAGCUGGAUAUCACUCAUAUAACGUUGCUGUACUAGUACGCUCUUUAUCCACUCUAGUGGACAAUUUUGGCACAGUAGUGGGACAACUACAGAGUACAAAUGAGGCACUGAAGUGUGCACUAUUUGGCAAGUGAGCGCAUAUUACAGUGCACUAAAACGACCCAAGUGCAAGGAAAUGCAGAUUUGAUUUUUGUCAAAGGUGAUAUGUGGCAUGACUCCUCUGUGAUUUUUUUAUUUUAUUUUUUUGUUUCUGGCAUUUCAAAAAUAUUUAGAAGAGUGGUCCGGCAUCGCUUUCCAUACCGAUUGCCACAAAAAAAUCGGCCAUUGCAGUUUUGUUCCGAUUUGAUGAAUCACAUUGCAGAUGUUAAAUUCCAUUUUCGUAUAUUCCUCCCACAAUGCAGAAAAUGAACUGCGCUGGAUUUUAGCGCGUUUGGCAAACACAAUAAUCUGUUCCGUGAGCGGUCAAGAUUGCGCCCGUUUUUUGCACAUUGCAAACCUCAAGCAAUCAAACAAAGACUAAGAGUUUCUACGCAAGAAAAAUAAUUUAUUUAUGAUAGAAUCACUUCAUGGCACUGGCAUGUCGGAAUGUGGCGCUUUUCCGGACAGCUACACACCAAACCACUGGAUGGGCCACGAGGGGAUUUAAUACAUAUAUGGAAUAUUCCUUUAAAUGUCUUUUUUUUUCCAUAAGGAAUAACAAAAAUAGAACUCCAAUAAGUGGUCUGACUCUA